This 253-nucleotide ribosomal RNA is filed under the name uncultured bacterium. RNAcentral describes it as "partial 16S ribosomal RNA". It matches the Rfam family "Bacterial small subunit ribosomal RNA", at positions 524 to 776 of the family's 1533-position model. The record is from RNAcentral.
AACGUAGGAGACGAACGUUAUCCGGAGUUACUGGGCGUAAAGGGCGUGCAGGCGGUCUGAUAAGUUCGGCGUGAAAUAUUCCGGCUUAACCGGGAUAGGUCGUCGGAGACUGUCGGACUAGAGGGUGAUAGAGGCGUGUGGAAUUCCGGGUGUAGUGGUGAAAUGCGUAGAUAUCGGGAGGAACACCUGUGGCGAAAGCGGCGCACUGGACCAUAACUGACGCUGAGGCGCGAAAGCUAGGGGAGCAAACAGG